RNAcentral lists this ribosomal RNA (450 nucleotides) under uncultured bacterium. Its description in RNAcentral is "partial 16S ribosomal RNA". It matches the Rfam family "Bacterial small subunit ribosomal RNA", at positions 354 to 796 of the family's 1533-position model. The record is from RNAcentral.
GUGGGGAAUAUUGGACAAUGGGCGAAAGCCUGAUCCAGCCAUGCCGCGUGUGUGAAGAAGGUCUUCGGAUUGUAAAGCACUUUAAGUUGGGAGGAAGGGUAGUAACCUAAUACGUUGCUACUUUGACGUUACCGACAGAAUAAGCACCGGCUAACUUCGUGCCAGCAGCCGCGGUAAUACGAAGGGUGCAGGCGUUAAUCGGAAUUACUGGGCGUAAAGCGCGCGUAGGUGGUUCAGUAAGUUGGAAGUGAAAUCCCCGGGCUCAACCUGGGAACUGCUUUCAAAACUGGCGAGCUAGAGUACGGUAGAGGGUGGUGGAAUUUCCUGUGUAGCGGUGAAAUGCGUAGAUAUAGGAAGGAACACCAGUGGCGAAGGCGACCACCUGGACUGAUACUGACACUGAGGUGCGAAAGCGUGGGGAGCAAACAGGAUUAGAAACCCGAGUAGUCC